This 20-nucleotide microRNA is filed under the name Ciona intestinalis (vase tunicate). RNAcentral's name for it is "cin-miR-4003a-5p". The record is from miRBase by way of RNAcentral. Lineage: Eukaryota; Metazoa; Chordata; Ascidiacea; Phlebobranchia; Cionidae.
UGAGUUGGUUAUACAUUCUU